Spinacia oleracea (spinach) is the source of this 1897-nucleotide long non-coding RNA. RefSeq lists it as uncharacterized. The record is from RefSeq and is a predicted model, not a curated record. NCBI's taxonomy places the organism in Eukaryota, Viridiplantae, Streptophyta, Magnoliopsida, Caryophyllales, Amaranthaceae. The transcript has 2 exons.
AAUAUACUUUGUCUCAUUAAUUAAUUUUUUAGUUUCUAAUUAUCAUUUGUUAUGUUUUGUUAUAGAAUUAGAAUUUUGUGGCAUGUUAACAAAAUCACCUUUGAAAUUUACCUUGUCUCUAAUUCUUCAUACUACCUCUGUUUCAUAAAAAUCUUUGCGGUUACUAUUUACACAAAUAUUAAGAGAAAAGUAAAAUUAGCAUCUUAUAGUUCCGGACUACGCCGAUCCUUAGGGUAAAGGUAAAAGUUUUGAUUAGGGUGUCUGCUUUGGUAUUAAUUAGUUGCUUCGGCGAAUCUUAGGCUUUGUCACCGUUGGUUUGUGGCUUGCUUAAGGUUUCUUCCCUUCGAUGUUGGCUUGGUGGUUAAUUUUUUGUGUGCUAAUGCUUAGUUGUUUUAGUUUUCAAGAGGUCAUCAAUAAUGUGUGUUUUAGUUUUGUAGUUGGUUUUUUUGUAAGGUAUGAUAGUAAAGUCAUUUACUUCCUUGUGAUUAUGGGUUGGUAAGUUAGGAUAGUAAAGUCGUUUACUUCCCUGUGGUUAUGUGGUUGGUCAAUAAUUGGUUGUCUGUGGUGGCUUAACGCAGGGACUGUACGUAGUUUUGGUUUAGCGAAGAAGCUUUUAGGAGUAAGGAUCGUAGGGUGGCCACGAGUAUUGGUUGUCUUGUUUAGAUUUGUGAGGAGUUGUGAUCUCCUUACAUUCAAAAUUCUAUAUACGAAGACAACUCCCCAAAUGCAAAUUUGGGGUGUUCAGUGGGUUGAUUCUCUCUUGGUUAGAUGGGGGGAGUCAUAGAGUAUCCAUUCAAAAGGAUAUCGAGACACCUUUGGUUGCUCAUUGGGUUUGUGAGUUUGUGCUCACAAGGUCAUUUCAAACGUCUCGUGAUAUUUUGGUCCUUUUGUAUUUUUUUUCUUCGUCUUUUAAGUUGUAUAGGUUUAAAAGGGCUCUACUUAGUGCUCACAUGCUCAAGCCACAUUCCAGGUGGAGAAUAGAAUGGGGUGUGCAAGACGGCGCCAACAAUCAAGAGCCGACAAACAAGGCGACUACUAUCUUUGUAGUUUUUAAAGUUCCUUGUAAAUGUGGGUAAAAGCUUAUAGAGCUCAUGUAAUGUAAUAUGUAAACCUUUUCUUUAAUGUAUGCAUGUUAAGCUAAGUCGUUGUCAAAAAAACAUUAUCAUUUUUUUUCUCUCGUAUGGUUCCCACUUAAAUAAUUAAAAAAACGGAUUUUUCACCAAAUGCCCCUAAGGUUUACUUUAAUGCACCAAAUACCCCUAAACUUUCCAAAAUGCACCAAACACCCCUGACGUAUGCAAUAAUAUCAUUAAAUGCCCUUUUGUCUGACGGACGUUAACCCUCCGUUACCAUGUUUUUACCUUGUUGCCCUUACUUGUCCUUUCUGGCGCCAUAUCAAAAAAGAAAAAAAAAAAAAAAACAAAUUCAAAACCUAACUUCCCAACUUCUUCCUCGACAUUUCUCUCUGUUCUCUUACACCAUUAGAGAGCACUUGAGUACCAAACCAAAGAGAGAGAAAGAUCGAAAUUUGCUGGGAUUUGUGUAAAACAACUCGCAAUAGUUAGUCGAAGUAAAUCCCCACGAAAAGAUCGACAAUUUGGUCCAAAAAUCUGCAGUUUUCGCGAGUCCUACAAAAGUGGGUGCAAGGAGAGCAAAGGACUGGAAUUUGUGGCUUCAACUUCAUCAAAAUUGUGUCAAGGAUGGUCGCAAUUUGGUUGUUAUGUCAUUAUAAUGAUCGGAAUUUUGAUGUGAGGGUACAAGAUACUGAUGAAACGAACUACAUGGAUUUGGUUGAUGACUUGUUUGAUGAUUCUAUUAAGCAAGAUGUUCUGAUUCCCGAUUUAUUUAGAUUGUUUUAUGUUAAUCCUAGUACGAAUAAAAGAGUAGAAUUGUUGAA